Molecule: ribosomal RNA, 253 nt
Filed under: uncultured bacterium
Lineage: Bacteria
Description: partial 16S ribosomal RNA
Rfam family: Bacterial small subunit ribosomal RNA
Source: RNAcentral
UACAGAGGGGGCGAGCGUUGUUCGGAAUUACUGGGCGUAAAGGGCGCGUAGGCGGCCUGCUAAGUCAUACGUGAAAUCCCUCGGCUCAACCGGGGAACUGCGUGUGAUACUGGCGGGCUUGAAUCCGGGAGAGGAAUGCGGAAUUCCAGGUGUAGCGGUGAAAUGCGUAGAUAUCUGGAGGAACACCGGUGGCGAAGGCGGCAUUCUGGACCGGCAUUGACGCUGAGGCGCGAAAGCCAGGGGAGCAAACAGG